UAUUGACCAAAAAGGAUGUCAAGGUCCUUUGACAAGUUCGGUAUAUGAUAUGCUGGUAAAAUGUCCCAGAUCUUUAGUACUUGAACGUGUAUCGAGUCCUGCUGCAGAAUAUCUAUGGUCCAAAUCAAUUUUAGGUACUUCACAUUGUAGUGAUAUGCUGGUAAAAUGUCCCAGAUCUUUAGUACUUGAACGUGUAUCGAGUCCUGCUGCAGAAUAUCUAUGGUCCAAAUCAAUUUUAGGUACUUCACAUUGUAGUGAUAUGCUGGUAAAAUGUCCCAGAUCUUUAGUACUUGAACGUGUAUCGAGUCCUGCUGCAGAAUAUCUAUGGUCCAAAUCAAUUUUAGGUACUUCACAUUGUAGUGAUAUGCUGGUAAAAUGUCCCAGAUCUUUAGUACUUGAACGUGUAUCGAGUCCUGCUGCAGAAUAUCUAUGGUCCAAAUCAAUUUUAGGUACUUCACAUUGUAGUGAUAUGCUGGUAAAAUGUCCCAGAUCUUUAGUACUUGAACGUGUAUCGAGUCCUGCUGCAGAAUAUCUAUGGUCCAAAUCAAUUUUAGGUACUUCACAUUGUAGACCUCCAACAGUGCAGAAGAACUCCCACCCUUGUUGUUGAUCAUUCUCUUCUUUUCUGACUUACGCCAACCACUUGAUAGCUUCAUCA
Molecule: long non-coding RNA, 658 nt
Filed under: Solanum tuberosum (potato)
Lineage: Eukaryota; Viridiplantae; Streptophyta; Magnoliopsida; Solanales; Solanaceae
Description: long non-coding RNA (STUB_LNC003352)
Source: RNAcentral